GCCUGGGUAGCUCAGUCGGUUGAGCAUCCGACUUCAGCUCGGGUCAUGAUCUCGCAGUUCAUGAGUUCAAGCCCCGUGUCGGGCU
This 85-nucleotide transfer RNA is filed under the name Felis catus (domestic cat). It matches the Rfam family "tRNA". From Rfam's summary of the family: Transfer RNA (tRNA) molecules are approximately 80 nucleotides in length. Their secondary structure includes four short double-helical elements and three loops (D, anti-codon, and T loops). Further hydrogen bonds mediate the characteristic L-shaped molecular structure. tRNAs have two regions of fundamental functional importance: the anti-codon, which is responsible for specific mRNA codon recognition, and the 3' end, to which the tRNAs corresponding amino acid is attached (by aminoacyl-tRNA synthetases). tRNAs cope with the degeneracy of the genetic code in two manners: having more than one tRNA (with a specific anti-codon) for a particular amino acid; and 'wobble' base-pairing, i.e. permitting non-standard base-pairing at the 3rd anti-codon position. Lineage: Eukaryota; Metazoa; Chordata; Mammalia; Carnivora; Felidae. The record is from Rfam by way of RNAcentral.